UAUAUAUAUAUAUAAUAUGACAUUUGUAAUGUCUUUACUGUUUUGAAACUUCUGUAUGUGCAAUGUUUACUGUUAAUUUUUGUUGUUUUUCACUUUAUUUAUUCACUUUGUAUGUUGUCUACCUCACUUGCUUUGGCAAUGUUAACACAUGUUUCCCAUGCCAAUAAAGCCCUUGAAUUGAAAUUGAAUUGAAUUGAGAGAGAGUCAGGGAGAGAGAGAGAGAGAGUCAGGGAGAGAGAGAGAGAGUCAGGGAGAGAGAGUCAGAGAGAGAGAGAGAGUCAGGGAGAGAGAGAGAGUCAGGGAGAGAGUCAGGGAGAGAGAGAGAGAGUCAGGGAGAGAGAGAGUCAGGGAGAGAGAGAGAGUCAGGGAGAGAGAGAGAGUCAGGGAGAGAGAGAGAGUCAGGGAGAGAGAGAAAGACAGGGAGAGAGAGGGAGAGAGAGAGAGAGAGAGUCAGGGAGAGAGAGAGAGUCAGGGAGAGAGAGAGUCAGGGAGAGAGAGUCAGGGAGAGAGAGAGAGUCAGGGAGAGGGAGAGAGAGUCAGGGAGAGAGAGAGAGAGUCAGGGAGAGAGAGAGAUUUCAGGGAGAGAGAGAGAGAGUCAGGGAGAGAGAGAGA
Oncorhynchus tshawytscha (Chinook salmon) is the source of this 612-nucleotide long non-coding RNA. The record is from Ensembl. NCBI's taxonomy places the organism in Eukaryota, Metazoa, Chordata, Actinopteri, Salmoniformes, Salmonidae.